GGGCAUUCAUGAGGUACAUCUAGAUGAAGUAUGUUAAUUUUAUCCUCAUUAAGUUAGUUAGAUGUGCCAAAUAAAUUGAAAUAGAUGGUUAGUUAGAUGUGCCAAAUAAAUUGAAAUAGAUGGUUAGUUAGAUGUGCCAAAUAAAUUGAAAUAGAUGGUGCCACAUAAAUUGAGAUGGACAACACAAUUUAAGAUUUGAACUUUGUGGGUUUGGACUUGUUCAAAAUUUUUUGAUUAUUUGACAUAUAUUUAAGGUUUACGCCAAAGCGGGGUCAGCUGCAUACGACCCCGUAUUAUUGUAGCAGAUGAUAAAAUUAACAUGCUGUACAGAAUGAGUAAAGCAAAAUCGUAAAAUCUACCUUAUGACAAGCAUGGCAGGUAAAAGGGAGAAAAUCGAGUUGAUGACAAUCAGAUAGUUGGCAGUGUCUUCCUAAAUCUGGAAAAGCUUCUGUUCCUCCUCCCAUCCUCUUUCUUCUUCUUCUUUGCUUUUGUUUCUUGUCUUCCUUGUCAAAUACUGAUUUCUUCUCGAGUUGCCUGGAAUGGAGUCUUCAUGGGCUAUAUGAUAGGAUUUUAGGUGCUGGCUUGGGCAAUAAGCAAAAACAAAUUACAGGUGUGAAAGGAAAUAGCAAAGGAAGCCGUGGAGGUGCGGGAAUACGCGCUUACGUCAUCAAUCGGAUCCGGGUCGGUAAAUGCGGUCCAGAACGAUCCAGAAAGUUAGUUAGUUCAUGGCUCUCUGGGCCCAACCAAGCCUCUUCUGCUGGCUGACGCUUUGGGCUUAAUUUUGGUGUUUCUGGGCCUGAACUUCAUGAACUCAAACUGUAUCCAUU
RNAcentral lists this long non-coding RNA (827 nucleotides) under Capsicum annuum. RNAcentral describes it as "long non-coding RNA (CANN_LNC003837)". Lineage: Eukaryota; Viridiplantae; Streptophyta; Magnoliopsida; Solanales; Solanaceae. The record is from RNAcentral.